GAGUUUGAUUCUGGCUCAGGAUGAACGCUGGCGGCGUGCCUAAUACAUGCAAGUCGAGCGAGAAUCUGAACGACGGAGACUUCGGUCAAAGGAAUUCAGAGGAAAGCGGCGGACGGGUGAGUAACGCGUGGGCAACCUGCCCCAUACAGAGGGAUAGCAGUUGGAAACGACUAUUAAUACCUCAUACUCCGGUUUUAUCGCAUGAUAGAACCGGGAAAGAUUUAUCGGUAUGGGAUGGGCCCGCGUCUGAUUAGCUAGUUGGUGAGGUAACGGCUCACCAAGGCGACGAUCAGUAGCCAACCUUAGAGGGUGAUUGGCCACACUGGAACUGAGACACGGUCCAGACUCCUACGGGAGGCAGCAGUAGGGAAUAUUGGGCAAUGGGGGCAACCCUGACCCAGCAACGCCGCGUGAACGAUGAAAAUCUUCGGAUUGUAAAGUUCUUUUCUUGAGGAAGAAGAAAGUGANCGNCUC
This 474-nucleotide ribosomal RNA is filed under the name Peptostreptococcaceae bacterium canine oral taxon 065. RNAcentral describes it as "bacterial SSU rRNA". It matches the Rfam family "Bacterial small subunit ribosomal RNA", at positions 9 to 464 of the family's 1533-position model. The record is from RNAcentral. Lineage: Bacteria; Bacillati; Bacillota; Clostridia; Peptostreptococcales; Peptostreptococcaceae.